AUGAGGCACCUGUGCAGGUGCAGAGGGGAGGUGUGCGGCUGUGCUCCGCGCGUCCGGCACUUAAAAGCAAGAAGGCAGCGUGCCUAACGGGAUGCAUCGACUCGAAACGGGACGUGGUUGUUCUCCCACAUCCGUUUAAUUUUUGUAUUGCUUUGCUCGAAGUUAUUGUCUUCACAUAAGAGCGGUCCUCUGGUGGCUUUUCCCUUCUCGUCGCAGAUCUGGCAGCUCCCGUGAUCUCGAAAUGUCACCACAUGUUCUGAAUUGUGGGGCUCUGAAAUGACUGUGGCUUUGCGUGUAGUCAGUGUUCCAAAUAAGCAUUCAGUCUCAGCAAUACCAAAUAAAACACACGGCUCCCAACUGCACAGAGUGGAUUAAAGAUGAGAAAGCGACCAAUACUUGCGGCUUCUCUGUUCCCACAAUUCUAUUUGUAUUUCUUAAAAGGGAACUUCCAUCUCUCAAUGAGCUAAUACAAGUGCCCCAGUACCGAAAUACAGAGCAACAAAUGAGAAACAAAAGCGAAACCAUAACACAGAGCGCAUCCUAUGCUGUGAAUACUGUGCUGUGAGCUGGAUUUCAUACACUGGAAUAUCCUAUUUCCUUCAUUGGGACUUUCAUUUCCAGUAGGUGAAAUGAAAGAUCUGCAUGAAGCCACACGGGUGUUGUAUCCCACAUAGGUGUCACCAAAUCAGGCACUUCCAUGAGGUUCUACUGCUCUUCUCUAUGUAGGAUCAGUUCUUUUAGGGUAUGUUUUAAAGGAAUUGUGAGUACCUGUGUUUCUUAUUACAGUAAUAACUGGGCCUAAGUCCUACCACCAGUACCACAUCUGAAACUAGGUGAAGUUCUCGUGUAGCUCCUUUUCCUCACUCGUCUCGUUCUUUCCCUGAAAGAGUUCUGCUUCAAAAAUGUAAGAUAAAACUUGGGCAAGAGCAAGUGUGCACUGAAUUCACUUAGGACACAGAUAAGAGCAAGAGAGAAGCUUACAGACACUUUGUCACCCCAGCUGCCUUCCUUCCUCUUCCUCCUCCCCAGCAACUUCAGAACAACAAAUUACCCCAGAACAUGGCUUACAGCUAGCAGAGCUUUCUGAAGGUAAAUGACAACUGAAUACUGCAACUAGGUGACAAGACAGUGUGCUAAUUAAUGCUAAUGCAGUUUGCAUAGGGCUGGGACUGUGAUUUGAGGAACAUUGGGUGCUAACAGAACACAACGCUCGCUGAUUCCAUUUAAUUCAACUGAAUUAAGCAGCGCUUAGAUGAACAACACUAUUACUGUUAAAUUUGUUCCCAUGCUAAAAAAGCAUUCAAAAUAUCGGUACAUGUGACAGCUGUGUCUCUACCACAUGACUGGGAUCCUGUGCAAAGCUGAGUGCAAAACUGUUUACAAGCAGGCGUUUCACCCACCUUCCAGAAUUAAGGUGAAAAGGAGAAACAUUAUCCGCAGUUCUGGAUGAACGCCUUUGAAUUUAGGGAGGUCACAAAGUUGGCUCAAUUGGUGACCUGAGGUUUGCACGUUGGGAGAUUUUUUUUUCUAAAGCAUAAAAUGUAACUUGUCUGCUGAAGAUCUCCUUAGGUAUCUGCAUAGACAGCUCAGGUUUCCUUCACUGUGCUUCAUUUCAAAUGCUGUUCAAUGAGUGGCUGUAGGUGAAAUGGGCAAUGCGAAUGGAUGAUAAACAUGGCUCUCCAGCUUCUGUUCACAUUCAGUGCUUAACUAUGAGCCCUAGCUCCUGCACAGUGCAUCAUGCAAAGCGUGUCAUCCAUCCCCACAUGGACGUCCCCAUUGCCAUCCUCCUCUUCACUGGCUGCCCAAACCCAAAAAACACUGAAUCAUGGAAUGGGUUAAGGUUAGAAGGAACCUUAAAGGCCAUCCAGUUCCAGUGACAAGGGAGAGGGCACCGGGUGCUUGUCACUUUGGCUCAGAUCUCUUCCACUUGGUCUUGAUGAACUUCAGAACUGAAACACUGGAAAUGUUUUCUCACUUAAGGCGGAGAGUUCAGUGGGAGCAACAGUACUCAGCAAAUAACAAAUGCCCCCCAAGUACAGUCUGAGGUGAAUACGGGAUCUACAAAGCACGCAUUUGUAAAAUCAUAAGUGCUAAAAUCCGCCACCAUCUAAAGUUUUCAGUGUUCCUCAAAACAGAGAAAACCAAACGAGUUUGGUGUUAACACCAGCCAAACGCUGUGCUGUAUAAAGUAUAAAAGAGUUAUUCAUUUGCAGUCAUGCGUAAAGUUGUUAUACAUAUUUUCCAUGCACAAGGAAAGUUUUCAAGUUCUCAGUGCUCCUCACUUGUUCUGUUUGUCAAAGGAGUUAAAACAUGCUUAUGAUCCAGCUCUGGUCUUUACCCAGGUAAUGCUGCCUGAGGUGUCCCUGGGACUUCCUUUGGAUGAGGACUGCCAGCUGACUCUAUCUUUACAUCUUACCCAACUGGCUGAAGCCAGACUUAAUAUGAGAAGCACCUUACAGCAGAUUUCAUCUUGAGGAACACAGGUCACUUUGUCAUCUGUCAGCUGGAGGAUAAAAAGUUUUUCUCCCCCACCUCAAAAGGUGAAGGGCUGUAACCUCAGAAGGGAGCAAACCAGAUGACUGACAGCCGGUUACUUUUUUGAUGAUGGUGAGAAAUUGCAUGUGGUUGUCCAAGGAUGUCUGGUCUCCUUCCCUUUACCCCCAGGUGAGAGACACUGCUAAGGAAUGCCAUCCUACAAAGGGCUGUAGACUAAGAAUUGGUGUCAGAGUCCUAUUAGCUCCUCUACUUACCACGUGAUGCGCUGAAGGACCACGCAUGACUGCUGUUUUGUACCCUUUGACAUCAUCCAGCCUCUUUAGCCAUGGCCAUGCUUUGUGGCAGAAGUGGUCUGCUAUUAAGUAUUUGUCAUCCUUGCACCUUGCUGAACCACAAAAACCAAAAACAAGAAACAAGACUUAUUUAAGCUACUUCUUCAGAUCCAGCCCUAUACAUAUUCUACUACCUUGAACUUCAAACAGGUUCUUGGUGUCCCUUUUGCACCAUUUUUUUGUUUCAUAUGCCCUAAAUCUUACAGCUGUGACUAGAUAGAUACACAAUUUUGUUCACCUCAUUUCAUCCCCUGGAGUUCAAAACUUGGUUUCCAUUAGUGGAAAGCUAGUAUAGGCCCCCGAAGACUACAACAACCUACUUAAGCUUAAGGUAUGUUUCAAGGUCGUGUUGGAUAAGGAGGAAAGAAAUCAGCUCCUACUAGCUAAUGAAAACUGCAAUGUCAUUUCAGAUCAGGCCUGCAGUUUGGGCUCCAAAAUGCCAAAUUUGUUUUUUCACUUCUUUCUGUUCAGGGGAUGGAUUCAAACCUGCUGACAAGCCUGCCCGUCGUGAUUUCCCCUCAUGUGAGCUUUUCUCACCCUAUCUGAGAGCCCCAUUUUACAGAGACCAAGGUCUGUGAACUGUUUGACAGAACUAAUGGAAAAUCACAGGCCAAGUACUCCUCCAAAAAAUGUAAUUCUGUCAAAGCAGACAUGGAAUUUGAGGACAAGUGUCAAAACCACAGGAUUUUUUAAUUCUAUUUUGAUUUUUUUUAUUUAUUUAUUUAUUUAUUUUUAGGGGCAUGCUGCUGUGUUUUCAGAGGGGCAAGAGAACUGAAGACAAGAGAACUUAGGUUGAGGAGGUGCUGCCCACUAAAAUAAACCGUGGCACCUGUCCCCUGGAGGAAGGGGGGUGGUGGUUUGGGAGGAAACCUUCCCAGAGGUCUACGGUUGAACCAGAUGGUAUUAAUGGCCUUUUCCUACCUUAACGAUUCUAUGAGUCCAUAAUUCAGAGAGCGAUCUUCACAGCUGGCCUGGGAGCAGGAAGUGAGCAUAUAGCUGAUCUGCCAAACUGCAUCAAAACAUCUCCAACGCAGCCUGGGGGAGUGCUGAAGCUUGUUGAAUGGAUCAGUUCUUCCUUUUGCUCCUAUUUUUUAAGUUUCACUUCACGAUACAAGAACAACAAGCUGAAAGGAGGUAACAGUGAGGUGGAAGUCGGCCUCUUCUCCCCGCAAACAAACUAUAAGACUUCUCUGGCUAUUGAGCAGAAGAAACAUAUGGAGACAGAAUUAUCCCACUGGAGUUUUCUUUGCUAGCAGAAGUGAGAGGAAGAAGCCACAAGAUUUGACAUGAUCCUCACAAGAAACUGUAUUUUGAGAGAAAAAGGGAAGAUAUUGCAACCUACUGCUCACCCGGAUAUUACAAAAUUAUCCUUCAUGUGUCACGUGGUAGAAUGUGGGUGGUAUAAUUUAGUAUUAUCUUCCAUUGCUAUUGAUCUACUGCCACACUUCUUAAAAACUCUUUCUGCCAUUAGUAUGGUGUCCAAACACAAAGUGAGUGCCCUUUUUAGCUUGCUAUAAAACCAGAUUUCUAAGUGCUAGUAGCUUAUUUAUAAACCAUUACAUAUAUUCUCAUUUAAAAUGGGAUUUCCAAGUUUUAGUUUUCUACAAGUUGUAGAAAGAGACGUUUCUGUUUUACAGGGUUUCUUUUGUUACUCAAAAUAAUGAGAUUGCAGCUCUUUGGAACAAGGAUUUAAAGCAAAACCAUGCACUAACACAUAGCUGAAUUCUGAAGUUUAAAUUAGAUUAUCAGCACAAUUAUUUUACAAUCCACUUGGGAAAGUAAUAGGCAAAAAAAGCUUUCAUGGCAUUUCACCUUUACAUGACUGAUGUGGCAAUCUGGGUUCUGAUUACUUGGGCAACUGAUCGACAACUUCACAUUAGCCAUAAAAGAAAUGCUGGAAAGAGUUUACAAAAAAAGGAAAGACAAAGGAAUAGUGGUAAUUUGAAUAGAAAAAGAAAAACAUCCAGAACCAUGACCAGGAAGUAGUUUUGGAACUUUAUUCCUAAGUACAAGAAAAAGAAAAGCUGAGCGUUGGCCAGCCAUUAAUUCUUACACUGUGACAGUACAAAGUUGGCACUUAAACAAGAAAUGGAACAAACUGAUGCCGAGGAAAUUUCAGAGCCCUUACCACUAAAUCUUAUAAAAAGUGCCAGAUUCUAGCUGUAGGGAGUUCAAAGAACAGGUGAAAAACAUGCAAAUAUUAUUCUCUUCUCACAGUGGGGACACCUAGAGCUUUAGAAGUUCGUCAUGUCUUACCUGAGGCACACCUUACUACUGUGAAAAUAUAUAGUAUACACAGUAUUUAUUCUAAAACUACUUGAUAGUUCUGGCCUAACACCUGGAUUUUUCCAAUCUUGUAACAGCAAUAUGUUUCGAAGACACUAAAUAUACAUCUAUUUCAUAUUUAUGUUGAAUGUAAUCAAAAUUAUGUAAACUAAGAAUAUAAUUUUCCCUGAUUUGAAA
Molecule: long non-coding RNA, 5291 nt
Organism: Centrocercus urophasianus (Greater sage-grouse)
Lineage: Eukaryota; Metazoa; Chordata; Aves; Galliformes; Phasianidae
Exons: 6
Source: RefSeq, a predicted model, not a curated record